GAUGAACGCUGGCGGCGUGCCUAAUACAUGCAAGUCGAACGAGGUGCUUUUGUAGCAAUACGAGAGUAUCCUAGUGGCGAACGGGUGAGUAACGCGUUGGUGACCUACCCCAAAGUGUGGGAUAACAGUCCGAAAGGAUUGCUAAUACCGCAUGUGGUCUUCGGAUUUAGAAACUGAUGACUAAAGGAGCAAUUCGCUUUGGGAGGGACCUGCGUCCCAUCAGCUAGUUGGUGAGGUAAUGGCUCACCAAGGCUACGACGGGUAGGGGACCUGAGAGGGUGACCCCCCACAAUGGAACUGAAACACGGUCCAUACACCUACGGGUGGCAGCAGUAGGGAAUAUUGCACAAUGGGCGAAAGCCUGAUGCAGCAACGCCGCGUGUGCGAUGAAGGCCUUCGGGUCGUAAAGCACUUUUCUGGAGAUGAGCAAGGACAGUAUCUCAGGAAUAAGUCUCGGCUAACUACGUGCCAGCAGCCGCGG
Molecule: ribosomal RNA, 481 nt
Filed under: uncultured bacterium
Lineage: Bacteria
Description: bacterial SSU rRNA
Rfam family: Bacterial small subunit ribosomal RNA
Source: RNAcentral